CCCUUAGAUGUUCUGGGCCGCACGCGCGCUACACUGACGAAUGCAACGAGCUUAUAACCUUGGCCGAAAGGUCUGGGUAAUCUCCAAAUUUCGUCGUGAUGGGGAUAGAUUAUUGCAAUUAUUAAUCUUCAACGAGGAAUGCCUAGUAAGCGCAAGUCAUCAGCUUGCGUUGAUUACGUCCCUGCCCUUUGUACACACCGCCCGUCGCUCCUACCGAUUGAAUGGUCCGGUGAAGCGUUCGGACCGUGGCCUUUGGACGGUUCGCCGUCUGCUGGCUGCGGGAAGUUCGUUAAACCUUAUCAUUUAGAGGAAGGAGAANUCGUANCA
RNAcentral lists this ribosomal RNA (327 nucleotides) under uncultured eukaryote. RNAcentral's name for it is "partial 18S ribosomal RNA". It matches the Rfam family "Eukaryotic small subunit ribosomal RNA", at positions 1470 to 1796 of the family's 1831-position model. The record is from RNAcentral.